This 66-nucleotide small RNA is filed under the name Flavobacterium sp. S87F.05.LMB.W.Kidney.N. RNAcentral describes it as "Flavo-1 RNA". The record is from RNAcentral. Lineage: Bacteria; Pseudomonadati; Bacteroidota; Flavobacteriia; Flavobacteriales; Flavobacteriaceae.
UAAAAACGGCGAUGUAAUGGACACCUACUUUUUAGGCUAUGAUGAAAGUGUACAGCGCGAAAAAAU